UGUUGGCUGGUGGUGAGGUUGCAUUUAUUGGUGGUGAGGUCAUGUUGGCUGGUGGUGAGGUUGCAUUGAUUGGUGGUGAGGUCAUGUUGGCUGGUGGUGAGGUUGCAUUGAGUGGUGGUGAGGUCAUGUUGGCUGGUGGUGAGGUUGCACUGAGUGGUGGUGAGGUCAUGUUGGCUGGUGGUGAGGUUACAUUGAGUGGUGGUGAGGUCAUGUUGAUUGGUGGUGAGGUUGCAUUGAUUGGUGGCGAGAUCAUGUUGGUUGGUGGUGAGGUUGCAUUGACUGGUGGUGAGGUCAUGUUGGCUGGUGGUGAGGUUGCAUUGAUUGGUGGCGAGGUCAUGUUGGCUGGUGGUGAGGUUGGAUAGAUUGUUGGUGAGGUCAUGUUGGCUGGUGGUGAGGUUGCAUUGAUUAGUGGUGAGGUCAUGUUACCUGGUGGUGAGGUUGCAUUGAUUGGUGGUGAGGUCAUGUUGGCUGGUGGUGAGGUUGCAUUUAUUGGUGGUGAGGUCAUGUUGAUUGGUGGUGAGGUUGCAUUGAUUGGUGGUGAGGUCAUGUUGGCUGGUGGUGAGGUUGCAUUGAUUGGUGGUGAGGUCAUGUUGAUUGGUGAUGAGGUUGCAUUGAUUGGUGGCGAGGUCAUGUUGGCUGGUGGUGAGGUUGCAUUGAUUGGUGGUGAGGUCAUAUUCGGUGGUGGUGAAGUUGCAUUGAGUGGUGGUGAGGUCAUGUUGGCUGGUGGUGAGGUUAUGUUGGCCGGUGGUGAGGUUGCAUUCAUUGGUGGUGAGGUCAUAUUGGGUGGUGAGGUCAUGUUGGCUGGUGGUGAGGUUGCAUUGAUUGGUGGUGAGGUCAUACUGGGUGGUGGUGAGGUCAUGUUGACUGGUGGUGAGGUCAUGUUGGCUGGUGGUGAGGUUGCAUUGAUCGGUGGUGAGGUCAUGUUGGCUGGUGGUGAGGUUGCAUUCAUUGGUGGU
Molecule: long non-coding RNA, 956 nt
Organism: Epinephelus moara (kelp grouper)
Lineage: Eukaryota; Metazoa; Chordata; Actinopteri; Perciformes; Serranidae
Exons: 7
Source: RefSeq, a predicted model, not a curated record